GCUGGCUAAGUAGCGUUGUCGUGAUUGGCUCAUAGUUAGACAGCCGUUAGUAUUUAUUUGAGUAACUGCUGUCAGCGCGUGAACGAUGUGGGUUAUCUUCUACAGCACACAGUGAAACGUCGUGUUCAUGAAGAAACGUAGAGAAAAUGUAAGUAAAGUAUCUGCGGAGUAUCGUAACCAAACUUAAAGUAGAUUUAGCGUUCAGCGGUUCUCUAUGACAAGUGGCUAGCGUUAACGGCGGCUAGCUUGUGAAAGAACACGCUUCUGUUAGCUUCCCGUUUUAGGUUAGCUAUCAAAAAAAUACUUUUAGGAUAUCAGGCAUUAUUGUGAGAGGAUAAACAAACAUGCAAAAAGAGGACAUCAAGAUGGAGUUUUGUCAACGUUAACAAGCUGACACCGAAGUAGUUUACCAGCAAGCUGUGGAGAGCAGACCGGUCUCCUCCAGACUGACAGACUGUGAAGAGCGACUUGUCUCCAUCAGCUGGGAACCUCUGCCGUGCUUGUGUGCGUCUGUCAGCACAGGAGGAGGGUUUCAGGCAUCAUCCUCUGAGGCAUCCUCUUACUGAGCUCACUGGACUAAAGCCUGGGAACGAGACCAACGAUCACCAUUCUCAUCAGGCAAAUGGACCCAGGUGCUCUGAAGCUGAAAUCAGAGCCCCGCUGCACAGCAGGGUGUCAAGUAUUUUUAGACAAAAGCUCUGAGACAAAGCACAGACCUGUACUGACACGUCUCGGGUCUAAUGUUAUUUGUUUUUAUUCUUCACUUGUGAGAAAUAAUCCCUGAAUGAGGUGAACCCGAUGGCCUUUUCUCUAAUUAAAGUUAUGAAUACCUGG
Eleginops maclovinus (Patagonian blennie) is the source of this 834-nucleotide long non-coding RNA. RefSeq lists it as uncharacterized. The transcript has 2 exons. Lineage: Eukaryota; Metazoa; Chordata; Actinopteri; Perciformes; Eleginopidae. The record is from RefSeq and is a predicted model, not a curated record.